This 1285-nucleotide ribosomal RNA is filed under the name uncultured fungus. RNAcentral's name for it is "eukaryotic LSU rRNA". The stretch from base 619 to 1285 matches the Rfam family "Eukaryotic large subunit ribosomal RNA", at positions 1 to 649 of the family's 3401-position model. Lineage: Eukaryota; Fungi. The record is from RNAcentral.
AAGUCGUAACAAGGUUUCCGUAGGUGAACCUGCGGAAGGAUCAUUAACGAGUUUGAAUAGGGUUGAUGCUGGCCUUCCGAGGCAUGUGCUCGCCCUUCUCAUCCAUCUACACCUGUGCACCUUUGUGGUCUAGGCGUUACGGUCCGUUGGACUGGAAGCCAGGCUACGUUUUAUUACACACGCUUUUUAGUUCAGAAUGUAAACAUCGCGAUAAAACGCAUUAAAUACAACUUUCAACAACGGAUCUCUUGGCUCUCGCAUCGAUGAAGAACGCAGCGAAACGCGAUAAGUAAUGUGAAUUGCAGAAUUCAGUGAAUCAUCGAAUCUUUGAACGCACCUUGCGCUCCUUGGUAUUCCGAGGAGCAUGCCUGUUUGAGUGUCAUGAAUAUCUCAAUCUCUUGUUCUUUGUUGAACAGAGCUUUGGACUUGGAGGUUUUUGCCGGCGUCAUUGUCGGCUCCUCUCUAAAUGCAUUAGCUGGAUCUUUCGAGAAAGCAGCCUCGGUGUGAUAUUUGUCUACGCCGUGUGUCUCUUACUCGCUUCAGUUUGCUACCCUGCCUUGCAAAAGGUGGUCGCGUGGCUUGGAGAUCUGGCUCAUAAAAACCCUCAUUCAUUUAAUCUGACCUCAAAUCAGGUAGGACUACCCGCUGAACUUAAGCAUAUCAAUAAGCGGAGGAAAAGAAACUAACAAGGAUUCCCCUAGUAACUGCGAGUGAAGCGGGAAAAGCUCAAAUUUAAAAUCUGGUGGUCUUUGGCCAUCCGAGUUGUAGUCUGGAGAAGCGUCUUCCGCGUUGGACCGUGUAAAAGUUUCUUGGAAUAGAACAUCAUAGAGGGUGAGAAUCCCGUCUUUGACACGGACUACCAGUGCUUUGUGAUGCGCUCUCAAAGAGUCGUGUUGUUUGGGAAUGCAGCACAAAAUGGGUGGUAUAUUCCACCUAAAGCUAAAUAUUGGCGAGAGACCGAUAGCGAACAAGUACCGUGAGGGAAAGAUGAAAAGCACUUUGGAAAGAGAGUUAAACAGUACGUGAAAUUGUUGAAAGGGAAACGCUUGAAGUCAGUCGCGUUGGCCGGGACUCAGCCUUGCUCUUUUGCUUGGUGUACUUCCUGGUUGACGGGCCAGCAUCGAUUUUGACCGUUGGAUAGAGUUCAGUGGAAUGUGGCACCUCCGGGUGUGUUAUAGCCUCUGUUCGCAUGCAACGGUUGGGAUCGAGGAUCGCAGCACGCCUUUAUGGCCGGGGUUCGCCCACGUACGUGCUUAGGAUGCUGGCGUAAUGGCUUUAAACGACC